GAUGAACGCUGGCGGCGUGCCUAAUACAUGCAAGUCGAGCGGACCAAAGAGAGCUUGCUCUCUGAGGUUAGCGGCGGACGGGUGAGUAACACGUGGGUAACCUGCCUGUAAGACGGGGAUAACUUCGGGAAACCGAAGCUAAUACCGGAUGAUAAAGAGAAACGCCUGUUUCUUUUUUGAAAGUCGGCCUUGUGCUGACGCUUACAGAUGGGCCCGCGGCGCAUUAGCUAGUUGGUGAGGUAACGGCUUACCAAGGCGACGAUGCGUAGCCGACCUGAGAGGGGGAUCGGCCACACUGGGACUGAGACACGGCCCAGACUCCUACGGGAGGCAGCAGUAGGGAAUCUUCGGCAAUGGACGAAAGUCUGACCGAGCAACGCCGCGUGGGCGAUGAGGGCCUUCGGGUCGUAAAGCUCUGUUGUCAGAGAGGAACAAGUACCGGAGUAACUGGCGGUACCUUGACGGUACCUGACCAGAAAGCCACGGCUAACUACGUGCCAGCCGCCGCGGUAA
This 513-nucleotide ribosomal RNA is filed under the name uncultured bacterium. RNAcentral's name for it is "partial 16S ribosomal RNA". It matches the Rfam family "Bacterial small subunit ribosomal RNA", at positions 28 to 523 of the family's 1533-position model. The record is from RNAcentral.